UACGUAGGCAGCGAGCGUUGUUCGGAGUUACUGGGCGUAAGGAGUGCGUAGGCGGUUUUCUAAGUUUGGUGUGAAAUCUCCCGGCUUAACUGGGAGGGUGCGCCGAAAACUGGAAGGCUUGAGUAUGGGAGAGGUAAGCGGAAUUCCUGGUGUAGCGGUGAAAUGCGUAGAUAUCAGGAGGAACACCUGCGGUGUAGACGGCUUACUGGACCAUAACUGACGCUGAGGCACGAAAGCGUGGGUAGCAAACAGG
Molecule: ribosomal RNA, 253 nt
Filed under: uncultured bacterium
Lineage: Bacteria
Description: partial 16S ribosomal RNA
Rfam family: Bacterial small subunit ribosomal RNA
Source: RNAcentral